AGCGAACGCUGGCGGCAGGCUUAACACAUGCAAGUCGAGCGGGCGUAGCAAUACGUCAGCGGCAGACGGGUGAGUAACGCGGGGAACAUACCUUUUGGUUCGGAACAACACAGGGAAACUUGUGCUAAUACCGGAUAAGCCCUUACGGGGAAAGAUUUAUCGCCGAAAGAUUGGCCCGCGUCUGAUUAGCUAGUUGGUGAGGUAAUGGCUCACCAAGGCGACGAUCAGUAGCUGGCUGAGAGGAUGAUCAGCCACAUUGGGACUGAGACACGGCCCAAACUCCUACGGGAGGCAGCAGUGGGGAAUAUUGGACAAUGGGCGCAAGCCUGAUCCAGCCAUGCCGCGUGAGUGAUGAAGGCCCUAGGGUUGUAAGCUCUUUUGUGCGGGAAGAUAAUGACGGUACCGCAAGAAUAAGCCCCGGCUAACUUCGUGCCAGCCGCCGCAGUAAU
This 449-nucleotide ribosomal RNA is filed under the name uncultured bacterium. Its description in RNAcentral is "bacterial SSU rRNA". It matches the Rfam family "Bacterial small subunit ribosomal RNA", at positions 29 to 524 of the family's 1533-position model. The record is from RNAcentral.